Chrysemys picta bellii (western painted turtle) is the source of this 1120-nucleotide non-coding RNA. NCBI's taxonomy places the organism in Eukaryota, Metazoa, Chordata, Testudines, Emydidae. The record is from RefSeq and is a predicted model, not a curated record.
ACAUUAGAAAAGACCCCCCAAACGCCUUGCAUUGCACAGCUAGUUAUCUGCAGUACUCUAGCCAGGCGGUCACCUCUGCUUUCAUUUCCCCUUCUGCAAUCCAAUUUUUAGAUAUCCAUGAGUGAUACGUUUCAGUCUGCUUCUCUGUUGACCUACAAGUCUCAAAAAAAAAAAUGUGAAAGAUUCCAAGUAAAGAACCUGUGGAUUCUUUAUACAAAUGCCACUACAUACUAACUAUAGCAUUCAUCUCUGUAGCACCUGAUUGCCAAGGGCGAAUAAGGAAUGCAGGUUUAUUUGAAGUCUAUCUUACUUAGCUUCAUUGAAACAAUGUUAUGAACAGGGCUUGUACUGGUACCUGUUUUCUGAGUAUUAUCUUACUCGUUCAAUUAAAGUAGGAGCUGGCUUUAAAAUGGGACUGAAAAGCCAGACCAAGCAUUUCUCCAUGGCUAUGUUCUCCGUUUUCAGUACUGAUAGCAGUGUUCAAUGGUAAUAAUAUUCAUGUAUGCAUUUAAAGUGUAAUCCUGUUAGCAGCUUUGAAACCAUUCUAAUUAACCACCUUGUCAUAAAAUAGUAAUUUCAAUCUAUUGUUACUUCCGAUGCUUUCCACAUUUUCAGAGGUGGAUCGUUUCAACAGACAUUACAGAUUAGAUCCUCAUCUGGUGCAAUCUGGUGUGGCUCCAAAUGAGCUAGGCUAGUUUACACCAGCUGAGGAUCUGUUGUAUGUCUUGUGUUGAACUUGAUAGCUACAGAUGCUUGGAACCAGGUUGUCAGCUGAUGAGUAUUGGCUUAGAUGCCAAGAAGUCUAUGGAGCUACAAGGAUUCUGACCCACUGAGAAUCUAGCCCCUCUUUCUCUUUCAGAGGGUUUCCUGUAAAGACUGAACAAAUGUGGUCAAAUAGUAGUUCAAGGGAAGAACAGUCUUCCAAUUUCAGGUGUUCUUUUUUUGCAGAAAUUAUAAGGCCAAGCUUACUAAAAUCAGUAUUAAGGAUGUAUUUAGUCCCUAACCUGGGCUGAUGCCUUUUGAGGGUUAGCACAAAAUAAAGUUUGUUUAUGAAGUUUGAGAAGUUUGCAUGUUAAGCAGACUGAAACAAACCAACCCUGAUACUCCAUUAACAUGCAAA